GCGGGUGUAGUUCAAUGGUAGAACGCGAGCUUCCCAAGCUCGCCACGAGGGUUCGAUUCCCUUCACCCGCU
This 71-nucleotide transfer RNA is filed under the name Verrucomicrobiota bacterium. Its description in RNAcentral is "tRNA-Gly". It matches the Rfam family "tRNA". From Rfam's summary of the family: Transfer RNA (tRNA) molecules are approximately 80 nucleotides in length. Their secondary structure includes four short double-helical elements and three loops (D, anti-codon, and T loops). Lineage: Bacteria; Pseudomonadati; Verrucomicrobiota. The record is from RNAcentral.